This 677-nucleotide ribosomal RNA is filed under the name Salmonella enterica subsp. enterica serovar Thompson. RNAcentral's name for it is "partial 23S ribosomal RNA". It matches the Rfam family "Bacterial large subunit ribosomal RNA", at positions 2256 to 2925 of the family's 2925-position model. Lineage: Bacteria; Pseudomonadati; Pseudomonadota; Gammaproteobacteria; Enterobacterales; Enterobacteriaceae. The record is from RNAcentral. RNAcentral also lists the same sequence under 1 other name.
GUCUGGUGGGUAGUUUGACUGGGGCGGUCUCCUCCUAAAGAGUAACGGAGGAGCACGAAGGUUGGCUAAUCCUGGUCGGACAUCAGGAGGUUAGUGCAAUGGCAUAAGCCAGCUUGACUGCGAGCGUGACGGCGCGAGCAGGUGCGAAAGCAGGUCAUAGUGAUCCGGUGGUUCUGAAUGGAAGGGCCAUCGCUCAACGGAUAAAAGGUACUCCGGGGAUAACAGGCUGAUACCGCCCAAGAGUUCAUAUCGACGGCGGUGUUUGGCACCUCGAUGUCGGCUCAUCACAUCCUGGGGCUGAAGUAGGUCCCAAGGGUAUGGCUGUUCGCCAUUUAAAGUGGUACGCGAGCUGGGUUUAGAACGUCGUGAGACAGUUCGGUCCCUAUCUGCCGUGGGCGCUGGAGAACUGAGGGGGGCUGCUCCUAGUACGAGAGGACCGGAGUGGACGCAUCACUGGUGUUCGGGUUGUCAUGCCAAUGGCACUGCCCGGUAGCUAAAUGCGGAAGAGAUAAGUGCUGAAAGCAUCUAAGCACGAAACUUGCCCCGAGAUGAGUUCUCCCUGAGACUUAGAGUCUCCUGAAGGAACGUUGAAGACGACGACGUUGAUAGGCCGGGUGUGUAAGCGCAGCGAUGCGUUGAGCUAACCGGUACUAAUGAACCGUGAGGCUUAACCUUAC